GAUGAUGAAUGUUUAAUGAAGUUUUAAAAAAAUAGUUGUUUGUGUUUCUUUGUUACUAAAUGUCAAAGUAGAAAGUUUAUGCGGAUAAAUUUCCAAUGGGCAAUACAUUUUUUAAAUGUGAUAAUUGUCGACAGCAAUAUUUAAAAUUAUACAUAGUCGAAAAUCUUAUACUAUCCUGAUUAUCUACUUUCAACGCUAGGGUAAUGAGCCUAUUUUCGUCAUGUUUCUAUUAUCACCCUACUAAUUUGUAGCCGCUGGUUAGAGGAGCUUUUCCCAUCUUUGUUCAACGCAUUGGUUUAAAAGGUAAGGCAAUAAUUGGAACACUCGAUUCGAAUUUUCGUUGCGCUUAAAAACGAACAUUUUACAGCUUUCAUACCAAUUCAAUCAGAUGCACAAAUUUUGUUUUCGAACUCGGAACGCAUUUCCAUAAAUAAUUUAGUUAUAGGUUUUGUGCCCUUUACGUGCAAAGGUGGUUUCAAACUAUUUUCUCGUUAGUGGAGGAAAAUAGUUUUUAAUUAAAAUUUUUCUCCACUACGGAUAAAUAUAGCAUAAUGCCAAUUGUGUUAUUAUAUUGGUUCUUAAGAGCAAAGUAAAACUACUGAUGCCAAUUUAUACGCAUUGCAUCAAUUGUAGGCCUAUAAAUUAGUGAUACACCCACCAUGAUAGGGUUUAUUUUAUGUAAGAGGUUAACCUCAUUACCCUAUAUUCGGAGCAGAAGACGAAGCUUCUUAUUUUGAUACUGAUUUCACUAAAUAAUCCCCCUACAUGUGAAAUUAUGUUUUAAACAGAUUGUUUAGCAAAUAUAAUGAAAUGAUGAGUUCAUGAAAUAUGUAGGAUAUACGUUAGCCUUCGCCUAUUCAAUCAAUUCCAUUAAAAGAAUCCAACAUUUGCACAAUAUUUUCUUAAAUUUUUAUUGAAAAGUAUUAAAAAUUGGGUGAGUGACAUUGAAAUUUUCAGGAGGAAACUCGAAAAAAUGCGGUGUACACACUAACUUAAAACCUCCUAUACUAAUCGUUUAGAAAUUUCGCAGAGCUCUUUCUCACUUAAUUGCCCAGGUACCUACGGGAGUGCUUUACAACAUCAUUAUUAUUUUUUAAAUAACAUGUUAACCGAUUUUUUAACAAAUGUAUUGCCUUCAAAGUGCUAUGAAAAAUUCGAAAAAAUAAAGGCUGCUCUCAUUACUCCUUAUCACUUAUAGCAAAAACAUUUUCUGGGACCUUUGGCACCAAAACACUAGUUACGUUGUCCAGUCUUAACCGAUUUCUAGAAAGUUCUAGAGAGAAAAACUACACCUUUACAAAGGUAUGCUGUAUUAUUCCGUUAUGAAAGAAAUGUGCUAAAUUGCAACAAUAAUAAGAAAAUUGUCAUGUUUUGCAUUUUUUCAUGACAAAUAUGCAAAUGGUUCAACAUUCUUCCAAACGCACGUCAUGGUUCUAAUAAUAAUUCGGAAGAGCAUUUUAUACUGUUAUAAAUCAAUUUGGGGACAUGCAACAUUUUUCAAAACUUUUUGUGUUGCACUAUAACCUAUGCUAGUUCACUUCAAAAGUUAAAAAAUCACUAUAGCACCGUGAAAUGAGUUAUGAUGAAGUUUUGGUAACAAAUUCUUAAUCAACCUGGCCAGUGCGUAACGAAUAAACGGUUUGCUUCAAUAGAAACAUGUGUGUCACGUUUUAGCUUGGCUAUGGGUGCCAUACGUCAAAAAACGUAGCAAUUUUUGAUACCUAACUACUUCUUCCUAAACGAGUAUUAUAUUUUAAUAAUAGAUCGCUUGGCAAAUUUUGGCCCCUUAAGGAGAGUACUGUACUAUUUUAUCACUUACGAGGCCUACAAUCGAAGAAAUUUCAAUAAAUUGGCAUCAACACGUUUGCUUCGUUCCCAAGAACCACUAGUAAAAUAAUAAAUGGCCCGAGAAUAGUGGAAUACUUCUGUUUCAGGGCAACGAAAACUCUAAUCGGGUGCCCAAAAUAUCGCACUACAAUUCAAGUCAAAAGAUAGUACAAAUAUAUGGCAAACACUGCUCUAACCAAUGGUUUCAAAUGGGUUAAGAGCUAAUUGCUUGAGGCUGCGUUUACGUCGCGAUGCCCGAAUAGAAAUGUACAGUAACAAAACUAUGAAUUUCGCUGUGACAGUACAGUAAUUUUACAAUAAUUUACAGUGAAUUCUAGUGUUAUGCUACAAUACAAAAACAAUAAACUUUGAUGUUUCUACAGUAAAUUUCAAUGUAAAAUCGACUUUUACAGUGAAAAAGGGGGGUGGUCAAGGGCGUGACACUCUUUUAUAAAAAUAUUUCACGUGGUUUUAUAUUUUUUAUAUCUCUCUAUAUUUAUUUAUAAUUGUCUAUAAAAGUUAUAAUUGUAUUCGAAUCGUUGAAAGUUCGAAAAUAAAAUUCGAACACCCGUUACCAUAGUAGCCUUAGUUACCGCGAGUGAUUAUAAACAAUGAAAAAAAUGGUGUUGCAUCAACAAGAAGUGCUCUGUCUUAACACCGAUAGUGAUUAAGCCAUCCCAACGGAAACAAACAGCCACAAUUCCAGCGUUUUUCACCAACAUUUCACAGCAGCACCACAAAUUAGGAUUUUCCAUCAUCCGACUGGUCGGUAGCAAUAACGAUGAAGCGAUGCUUCUGCCAAAGGGUUUGACUCCAAUUCAACAGCCGCAACUAGUGCAAAUUCACAGGUGCAAACGAUGCAAGCCAAUCAGGAUCAAGUGCAGAUGACCAUUCGUCGCAGGAACAACCACAAACUAGAAUUAUCAUCACCCAGAUUCCGUAGUAGAUACAGCAACGGCACCUUCAGGUACAACAGCAGUAUACAAUACAGUCCCAAGCAGCAAAAACAUCACAAUCAGGAGGAACCACUGCAGCAGCCGCAACAAGAUUGAAUUGGCCACAAAUCGAUCAACAGCAGUAACGGAACAUACCCGGUCAACCGUAAACACAACAGCAAGGUACUCGGCGGAAGGGAUUUCUGUAUUUGUGCGUGUGUAUGACUCGUUUUUGAAAAAAGCGCUUUCCUUCGAUUCUCUGGCACGCUACCGGGGAAAUCCAUUACCAUUAAGUUGAACGAGAACCAGGAAUGAGUCCUUCGGGGAGACGACGCGUAAUGGUUAAUGUUGGUGGAGUUGCAGAUCACGCUCUGAAAAUAUCGCAAACUAUAUCCCCCUCAGCAGCACGCAACCCCGACACGAAAGGUGGUACGCAAAGCCCCUGAAAACAACGACAGCCCGUUAAUAUUUAGCAUAGCAUAAAAAGCCUAGUAGUUAGAAGAUAGAUGGCACAUAAUAGCAAGUCAGUCUCAUGUUCUGUACUAUCGCUAUACGCAUAACUGUUCCAUGUGCUAUGGAAUUUUCGAUGCACAUAACAUUAACCUUUAAACGUAUGAAACUCAUUUUCAUUGGUAUUCAUUUUUCGGUAUGGAUGCGAUAUUUACCUCUUGUUGAGGCUUAAUAUCACAGAAUUCGGUAUGUUGCCAAAUGACAACAGUAUGCAUUUAAGGGUUCAGUAAAAAACAAUCAAGAAAAUGAGAUAACAAUCAAUAGUCCUUACCGUUGUCGUAAUUUGCUGUAACUGAUGACGUUUGCAGCAUUACGUAACCAACAAAGUAGUGUUUAGCCUAGAAAAGUCCCUCGAUCUUUCACACAGAAAAAAGAUUAGUAUGUUCAAUAAAUUUAUGGAUUAAAUU
This is a long non-coding RNA of Topomyia yanbarensis, 3679 nucleotides long. RefSeq lists it as uncharacterized. The record is from RefSeq and is a predicted model, not a curated record. Lineage: Eukaryota; Metazoa; Arthropoda; Insecta; Diptera; Culicidae. The transcript is spliced from 4 exons.